UUUAGAGUGGUAGAAAGUGGCUUUAGCAGCAGAGACCGAAGAGGAAAAUGUAGAGGGGAGGGAGUGAAAGGAUGCCAGGUCCGCAGGGAGGCGAGUUUUCCUCCAUUUCCGCUCGGCUGCCCGGAGCCCUGUUCUGUGAGCUCGCAAGGAGUCGUCGAGCCACGGAGCGGGAGGGGAGGACCGAGCCGGCCUGGAGGAUAGGGGACAUAGAGAGUCAAAGGAUGCAGAAAGGGAGGAGAGGAGGGUUGAGGAGGCAGAAUCAGGAGAUAGGUUGGAGAAGGUUUGAGCAGAGGGAAGAGAUGAUAGGAUGGAAGAGGAGAGAGUAGCGGGGGAGAGAGAGCGAAGGUUGGGACGGCGCGAUACCAUCCGAGUAGGGGCAGUGUGGGAAGUGUUGGAUGAGAGCGAGAGGGAAAAGGAUACAAGGUAGUGGUCGGAGACUUGGAGGGGAGUUGCAAUGAGGUUAGUGGAAGAACAGCAUCUAGUAAAUUUGAGGUCGAGCGUAUUGCCUGCCUUGUGAGUAGGGGGGGAAGGUGAGAGGGUGAGGUCAAAAGAGGAGAGGAGUGGAAAGAAGGAGGCAGAGAGGAAUGAGUCAAAGGUAGACGUGGGGAGGUUAAAGUCGCCCAGAACUGUGAGAGGUGAGCCGUCCUCAGGAAAGGAGCUUAUCAAGGCAUCAAGCUCAUUGAUGAACUCUCCGAGGGAACCUGGAGGGCGAUAAAUGAUAAGGAUGUUAAGCUUGAAAGGGCUGGUAACUGUGACAGCAUGGAAUUCAAAGGAGGCGAUAGACAGAUGGGUAAGGGGAGAAAGAGAGAAUGACCACUUGGGAGAGAUGAGGAUCCCGGUGCCACCACCCCGCUGACCAGAAGCUCUCGGGGUGUGCGAGAACACGUGGGCGGACGAAGAGAGAGCAGUAGGAGUAGCGGUGUUGUCUGUGGUGAUCCAUGUUUCCGUCAGUGCCAAGAAGUCGAGGGACUGGAGGGAGGCAUAGGCUGAGAUGAACUCUGCCUUGUUGGCCGCAGAUCGGCAGUUCCAGAGGCUACUGGAGACCUGGAACUCCACGUGGGUCGUGCGCGCUGGGACCACCAGAUUAGGGUGGCCGCGGCCAUGCGGUGUGGAGCGUUUGUAUGGUCUGUGCAGAGAGGAGAGAACAGGGAUAGACAGACACAUAGUUGACAGGCUACAGAAGAGGCUACGCUAAUGCAAAGGAGAUUGGAAUGACAAGUGGACUACACGUCUCCAAUGUUCAGAAAGUUAAGCUUACGUAGCAAGAAUCUUAUUGACUAAAAUGAUUAAAAUGAUACAGUACUGCUGAAGUAGGCUAGCUGGCAGUGGCUGCGUUGUUGACUUUGUAGGCUAGCUGGCAGUGGCUGCGUUGUUGACACUACACUAAUCAAGUCGUUCCGUUGAGUGUGAUAGUUUCUACAGUGCUGCUAUUCGGGGGCUAGCUGGCUAGCUAGCAGUGUUGAUUACGUUACGUUGCGUUAAAAGAACGACAAUAGCUGGCUAGCUAACCUAGAAAAUCGCUCUAGACUACACAAUUAUCUUUGAUACAAAGACGGCUAUGUAGCUAGCUAUGUAGCUAGCUACGAUCAAACAAAUCAAACCGUUGUACUGUAAUGAAAUGAAAUGAAAAUGUGAUACUACCUGUGGAGCGAAGCGGAAUGCGACCGGGUUGUUGAGUGAGGAAGUUCUAUUCGGUAGACGUUGGCUAGCUAUUUUAGCACUUGGCAACGCAGAUGCUCGUUGACACGCGUGAGCAGUGUGGGUGCAAUAAUUGAAUAAUAUAGAUAUCUACAUUUAUUUUGCAAUGAUCGCGCACGCGAUGCCAACAGUGUAUAGUCAGGGUAUAACGCUUCGAACACACCGACAGCAUAAUUGCAUUUUGGUACACCAGAAGGACAUUAAUUUCCAAUGAAACACUGCGUUUGCCUUGCAGCAUUGCGUUGCAGAGGCAGUCCGUUCGGUGUGGUGCAUACAUCAAACAUGCGUAGACGGCUUGACAGAAAUGGUAGCAGAAUGUGGAAUGUGGAACUUCUGUUGCAUACAUAUCCAGAUGAUGCUUCAUACUAUUUUGCACAAUUACGCUGUCGGUGUGUUAGAAGCGUAAUGAUGAUUAUGCAGUUGUGGUACACAGAUACUAUACUAUCCCUAAUUUCUGGCACAAGGAGCUCAGAGAAAUAUGGUACUUAUCACUGUCUUUUUGUAUCUCCUCCUGGGCAGUAUCCUACCAUGUACAGUGACAAGGAGCAGGUGUUCAACUGCAUCCAGAGGGCCAACCAGAACACACUAGAGGUGUAACCUCAGUGACUUGUGUUCCAGAUCAUUGCAGCUCUUGUCUAUCCAGUACAUAUCCACAUUAACCAACAUUACCAGAGGGCGGAGACAGUUCAGGUGCAUCAAAGCUGGGAUGGAGAGACUGAAAAACAACUUCUAUUUCCAGGCCAUCAGACGUGUUAAGUAGCCUCCGCCCAGUACCUUAUCCUUUACUUAGAUUUGUGUGAAUUAGGUUGUUGUGGAAUUAUUAGAUUACUUGUUAGAUAUUGCUGCUCUGUCGGAACUAGAAGCACAAGCAUUUCGCUACACUCGCAAUAACAUCUGCUAACCAUGUGUACUGUAUGUGACCAAUAACAUUUUAUUUGGUACCAGCUGGCUUCCACCUGGUACUCUACCCUGCACCUUAGGAACUGCUGCCCUAUCUACAUAGUCAUUGAACACUGGUCACUUUAAUAAAAUGUACAUACUGUUUUACCCACACCUUUUUCAUUCAUAUAAUGUCUAUACACAUAAGUAAGCAAUGUGGGAGUACCAUGCCAUGUUCUCUGGAUGAUAAUUGACAGCCCUGUCUGUUGCAUUGAUCUGUCUUCUUUACACACCCAACAGCACAUAUCAAUAAGGGCCACAUCUCACUGGCGUUGCAACAAAAUGAUUCAGCAUCUUCUCAAUUUGACAGUUUAUUGACUAUAGCUCUCUGUCCUACUUCCCUCACUCUGUUUCCCCUUUCGUCUGUUACCCAAUCACUCAUCCCUCCUCCACCUAUGACUUCUGCAGCUGUGCUGGGAGCAAUCUAGGUCACCAGCAGGUUCUCCUGUGCCUGGAGUUACUACACUGGAGAUAAAGACAAUUUUUUGCAAUGAGAUUGCACAUCAUGACACCAACACCUCCCUUUGUUUAUUACUUUUGAGACUGUUUCUGAGUCACAGGGCAUGAGUGAAAAUGGUUGGACUCCCAAGGCCCUCCUACAGUUGAUAUGCUUUUUAGCAACUUAAGUAUCAGCCAUAUCUGAAUUCUAUUGUUAUUGUAAACAAUGGUAUACCAUUAUGGAAAGUACUACAGCUGUAUUUUAUGAAAAUGUCAUGCAAAAAGUUAUGAUUAUCAGGCAUUUGUUUUAACCUUCCAUUCCUAUGUAUUGACCACAUGUUAAUAAAGAUGAAUGUAAACAUUGUCAGAAACGUUA
Long non-coding RNA from Oncorhynchus nerka (sockeye salmon), 3451 nucleotides. RefSeq lists it as uncharacterized. The transcript has 2 exons. NCBI's taxonomy places the organism in Eukaryota, Metazoa, Chordata, Actinopteri, Salmoniformes, Salmonidae. The record is from RefSeq and is a predicted model, not a curated record.